Gossypium raimondii (Peruvian cotton) is the source of this 494-nucleotide long non-coding RNA. RefSeq lists it as uncharacterized. Lineage: Eukaryota; Viridiplantae; Streptophyta; Magnoliopsida; Malvales; Malvaceae. The transcript is spliced from 2 exons. The record is from RefSeq and is a predicted model, not a curated record.
AAACAUUUUGUAAAGAAAAAAAGAGGAGGGGGCCUUAUAUUCUCUGGGCAAAGUCCAGAUACCGGCCAAAGGGCCGCCGUGUCUCCAUCGCACCUCCGCCGGUAGCCGGCGCCAUCGCCGCCAUAUGCGGCGGCCGGAGAGUUAAAAAAAUUCCCUUCUUCGGCCGAUCUAAAAGCAGGCACUCGAUGGCGCCAGUGGAGAGGCGGUGGUGGCAGAGGACGUGACAGAGGCGGUGGGUUGGUGGCAGCAGUCAAGUGGAGGCCCCAGUCAAGUGGGGCACUAGGGUUUCAGAGACUGAAACCCUAGUCUGACUCCUUGUUGGGUCUGGGGAAUUGGGCUUCUUGGGCCUUUUAUUUGUAAUGGGCCCGGGUUAAAAUGGGCCUGUAACAAAAAGCGUUUUCGAUUAUUUAGAUCCAAAGAAAUUGGAACCAAAUGCGUUAAGGAUCAAUUUUCUCGAAUCUAAACAUAAAAUUUUACUUGUUUGAAAGUCGAAA